UAUUGGACAAUGGGCGGAAGCCUGAUCCAGCAACGCCGCGUGAGGGAUGACGGCCUUCGGGUUGUAAACCUCUUUCAGUACCGACGAAGCACCGGUGAUGGUGGUGACGGUACCUACAGAAGAAGCACCGGCCAACUACGUGCCAGCAGCCGCGGUAAUACGUAGGGUGCGAGCGUUGUCCGGAAUUAUUGGGCGUAAAGGGCUCGUAGGCGGUUUGUCGCGUCGGGAGUGAAAACUCGGGGCUUAACUCCGAGCCUGCUUCCGAUACGGGCAGACUAGAGGUAUGCAGGGGAGAACGGAAUUCCUGGUGUAGCGGUGAAAUGCGCAGAUAUCAGGAGGAACACCGGUGGCGAAGGCGGUUCUCUGGGCAUUACCUGACGCUGAGGAGCGAAAGUGUGGGGAGCGAACAGG
This 411-nucleotide ribosomal RNA is filed under the name uncultured bacterium. RNAcentral's name for it is "bacterial SSU rRNA". It matches the Rfam family "Bacterial small subunit ribosomal RNA", at positions 362 to 776 of the family's 1533-position model. The record is from RNAcentral.